UCUUGAGCUUCGAGCACUGGUCGGAGAGCGAGCCCGCCGCGCCCAGGCACGCACCCAACAUCGAGCGCGCCGAGCAGGACGAAGACGGGGAAUCGCAGCUGGAAACGGCUAAAAGCCUGCGAGAAAAGUUCGAGAACAUGAAAGUGCAACAGACUACUGUCACAAAAACCUUCGUGCCCAAAGUCAAUCGAUUUGUGUGACCGCUGAGUGAGAUCCAUCGCUGUUCAAUUGCCAAAGCUACGUUUUAACCCUCGUGAAGUUGUAAAGUCACCUAACAUACUUGCCAAUUAUAUUAUACCCUAGUUAAGCCACGGUUGUAACCUUUUAAUAAUUCGACGAAUAUCUCUUAGAUUUAAAAUUGUAUUUAUUGUAUUUUAUAUAGGACUGAUAGGAGAUGCAUUUUUAUUGAACAAGUGCCUUGAAAUGUGCAAUUUCAAUUAAUUUUGAGUACUUACUCGAUUUUUAUUAAAGUAUUAUACUCAAUUUUAUAUGGGAGUGAAUUUAACUGUUUUUAAUGGGAACUUCGCUCUAAUUUUAGGUUAAGAUCUCUAAAUAAUUCUUACGACUCGUAUAUCAUUGGUAUUCAUGUUUCAUGUUAUAAAUUGUACUUUUGUACCAACAUCCCAUCUUUCCAUACAUAUUUAUUACAUUAUUUAUGUGCUGUGCCAUCGCCAUUUUGUUAAUUGUAAGAAUAAUUGUUUGUGAAAUGUAGGUCUCAUUGCAAGCAGUGCUCAUAUUUUCUAAAUUGACAACCCUUAGCUAAACUGAAACGGCAGUAUCGUCUAGCGACUCAUAAUUUAAUCUUACUGCCUACUGUUUUGUCUUUAAAUCGAAAACAUUGAAUUUCAAUGAGUUAGAUAGCCGCUUUUCAACUAAUAACAGUCGUUAUCAGUCCUAGAAUAAGCAGUAAAUUUUGAAACCAGGGUAGAACUAAGUAUUAUAAUCUGAAACUGGCUUUUCAGACCAGUGUUUCUUAAUACAGGCCCUUCACAAUGCAGUGGCAGUAAGAUGGCUACCAUAAUAAACCUAAUUGCCUUGUCUUAUGAUCCAAUAAGCAAAAAUUGUACUUCAGUACCUAAGGCUCAAAUUGUUCAAUCCUGUUUAACCUGCAUGAAGGUUUUUAUGAAGACGUAAACUUGCUUGUAUUGUGG
Long non-coding RNA from Ostrinia nubilalis (European corn borer), 1151 nucleotides. RefSeq lists it as uncharacterized. Lineage: Eukaryota; Metazoa; Arthropoda; Insecta; Lepidoptera; Crambidae. The transcript is spliced from 3 exons. The record is from RefSeq and is a predicted model, not a curated record.